Molecule: long non-coding RNA, 238 nt
Organism: Bradysia coprophila
Lineage: Eukaryota; Metazoa; Arthropoda; Insecta; Diptera; Sciaridae
Source: RefSeq, a predicted model, not a curated record
AAUUUACACACUAAUAUUUCCGUGCGCAUUUAGUUAUAUGCUUCAUGACAGAAUCCUAUUACGCUCAUGUGUAGCAGGAUUUUGUGUUGAUGUGUUUUGCUUGAAUAUUAUGAAUAUUUCAACUAACAGUAGAUAAAAUCCUGUUGCUAACACGUUAGUAAAAGGGGUUUUGCGCACACGAUGCACAACCUCACACCUAGUGCUCAAAACAAGCCCAUUUACUAACUAGUUAGCAAAA